Molecule: ribosomal RNA, 1369 nt
Filed under: seawater metagenome
Description: bacterial LSU rRNA
Rfam family: Bacterial large subunit ribosomal RNA
Source: RNAcentral
CGUAAUAGCUCACUAGUCGAGUCGGCCUGCGCGGAAGAUGUAACGGGGCUCAAACUGGAUACCGAAGCUGCGGCUGCAUACUAUGUAUGCGGGGUAGGGGAGCGUUGUGUAAGUCUGUGAAGGUGUGUUGAGAAGCAUGCUGGAGAUAUCACAAGUGCGAAUGCUGACGUGAGUAACGAUAAUGGGAGUGAAAAACUCCCACGCCGAAAGACCAAGGUUUCCUGCGCAACGCUAAUCGGCGCAGGGUGAGUCGGCCCCUAAGGCGAGGCAGAAAUGCGUAGCUGAUGGGAAACAGGUUAAUAUUCCUGUACUUCUUAUAACUGCGAUGGAGAGACGGAGAAGGCUAUGCCUACCGGGCGUUGGUUGUCCCGGGGAAAGGCUGUAGGCUGAGGUGUUAGGCAAAUCCGGCACCUUAAGGCUGAGAGUCGAGACCACUGGUCCUUUGUGACCGGGAAGUGGUUGAUGCCAUGCUUCCAGGAAAAUCUUCUAAGCUUCAGGUUAUAAGGAACCGUACCCCAAACCGACACAGGUGGUUGGGAUGAGUAUUCUAAGGCGCUUGAGAGAACUCGGGUGAAGGAACUAGGCAAAGUGGUACCGUAACUUCGGGAGAAGGUACGCCGCUGACGGUGAUGAGACUUGCUCUCUGAGCUAUCGGCGGUCGCAGUGAAAAGGCCCCUGCAACUGUUUAUUAAAAACACAGCACUCUGCAAACGCGUAAGCGGACGUAUAGGGUGUGACGCCUGCCCGGUGCCGGAAGGUUAAUUGAUGGGGUUAGCUUCGGCGAAGCUCUUGAUCGAAGCCCCGGUAAACGGCGGCCGUAACUAUAACGGUCCUAAGGUAGCGAAAUUCCUUGUCGGGUAAGUUCCGACCUGCACGAAUGGCGUAAUGAUGGGGGCGCUGUCUCCACCCGAGACUCAGUGAAAUCGAAAUCGCAGUGAAGAUGCUGUGUACCCGCGGCUAGACGGAAAGACCCCGUGAACCUUUACUAUAGCUUCACAGUGGACUUUGAACCUGUUUGUGUAGGAUAGCUGGGAGACUUUGAAGCAGUGACGCUAGUCAUUGUGGAGUCGUCCUUGAAAUACCAGCCUGGCAUGUUUGAGGUUCUAACCUGGGUCCCUUAUCGGGAUCGGGGACAUUGUGUGGUGGGUAGUUUGACUGGGGCGGUCUCCUCCCAAAGAGUAACGGAGGAGCACAAAGGUACCCUCAGCACGGUCGGACAUCGUGCAACGAGCGUAAAGGUAGAAGGGUGCUUGACUGCGAGACCUACAAGUCGAGCAGGUGCGAAAGCAGGUCUUAGUGAUCCGGUGGUUCUGUAUGGAAGGGCCAUCGCUCAACGGAUAAAAGGUACUCCGGGGAUAACAGGCUGAUA